RNAcentral lists this long non-coding RNA (3697 nucleotides) under Salmo salar (Atlantic salmon). Its description in RNAcentral is "lncRNA (ENSSSAG00000107297.1)". The stretch from base 2524 to 2569 matches the Rfam family "Histone 3' UTR stem-loop". The record is from RNAcentral. Lineage: Eukaryota; Metazoa; Chordata; Actinopteri; Salmoniformes; Salmonidae.
CACAGAGGUAGCUAACAUUAACUGAAAUGUUAGCUACAAGUAGGCUUGUACCGUAAGUGGUAAAUUGCCGCGUGCCGCUUAGGCCGCCCAUUGUGACUCGGUUGUGGGCGUGCAGGCAGCAUAUAGCACGCCCACAACCGAGUGCGUCAAUAAUUCAGCGUAGCAAGUUUGUAUGAAGGUCUGGUUAUUAAAUGGGUACGUAGUUCAAUAGUAAUAUCCUCUAAAACGCACUGGUGACAAACAAACUUUGCUGCCCUGUAUCCAAUUAUCUACAUGGCUGGGAGAACCUAUUGAAGUAAGUAAAUACAUUUGAAAAAGUUUUUUUAUUUUUUUUAAACCUACGUGUUAUUAGCUAACUAGCUACAGUGCAGGCUAACUCAAAUGAGCUGCUAAAUGAACUAGCUAGUUGGCUAGCUAGCUAUCUAGCCAACUUCACAUACUGUAUAGAUAGCUAGCCAAGUGAAUUAAAUAUCACCAGCUACCUUACCUCAUAUUAGCUCGGUAUCUUGAUGUAUUUAUCACUGUAAAAAACGAACUCAAAAUGCAUUUGUCGGUAGCUAGCUAACAGCCAUGGAGGGUGAAAGGAUAGCAGCCCCAACUGUCAAAGUGAGAGAGUUGGCUAUUCUGGAUAGGGCAGGUACUUUUGUGUAGUUCCUGUCCCUAGAAGUGAGGACGGAGAUAAUAGUAACAUAAUAUUCAGUACGGUAUAAUUUCACUAUAAUGAAGUCUGUUUAUUGUGAGGUUUUCUGUCCUCAGAUAAAGAGAGCUGUGAAAGCCUGUCUACAUAUGGGGGUGCCACAGGGUUCAAUUCUUGAGCCGACUCUUUUCUCUGUAUACAUCAAUGAUGUCGCUCUUGCUGCUGGUGAGUCUCUGAUCCACCUCUACGCAGACGACACCAUUCUGUAUACUUCUGGCCCUUUGGACACUGUGUUAACUACCCUCCAGACGAGCUUCAAUGCCAUACAACUCUCCUUCCGUGGCUUCCAACUGCUUCCAACAAGUAAAACUAAAUGCAUGCUCUUCAACCGAUCACUGCCUGCACCUGCCCGCCCGUCCAGCAUCACUACUCUGGACGGUUCUGACUUAGAAUAUGUGGACAACUACAAAUACCUAGGUGUCUGGUUAGACUGUGAACUCUCCUUCCAGACUCACAUCAAAUAUCUCCCAUCCAAAGUUAAAUCUAGAAUUGGCUUCCUAUUUCGCAACAAAGCAUCUUUCACUCAUGCUGCCAAACAUACCCUCGUAAAACUGACCAUCCUACCGAUCCUCGACUUCGGCGAUGUCAUUUACAAAAUAGCCUCCAAUACCCUACUCAAUAAAUUGGAUGCAGUGCCAUCCGUUUUGUCACCAAAGCCCCAUAUAUUACCCACCACGCGCUCUCGUUGGCUGGCCCUCGCUUCAUACUCGUCGCCAAACCCACUGGCUCCAGGUCAUCUACAAGACCCUGCUAGCUAAAGUUCCCCCUUAUCUCAGCUCGCUGGUCACCAUAGCAGCACCCACCUGUAGCACGCGCUCUAGCAGGUAUAUCUCUCUGGUCACCCCCAAAGCCAAUUCCUCCUUCGGCCGCCUCUCCUUCCAGUUCUCUACUGCCAAUGACUGGAACGAACUACAAAAAUCUCUAAAACGGGAAACGCUUAUCUCCCUCACUAGCUUUAAGCACCAGCUGUCAGAGCAGCUCACAGAUUACUGCACCUGUACAUAGCCCAUCUAUAAUUUAGCCCAUACAACUACCUCUUCCCCUACUGUAUUUAUUUAUUUAUUUAUUUUUUUGCUCCUUUGCACCCCAUUAUUUCUAUUUUGCACUUUCUUCCACUGCAAAUCUACCAUUCCAGUGUUUUACUUGCUAUAUUGUAUUUACUUUGCCACCAUGGCCUUUUUUGCCUUUACCUCCCUUAUCUCACCUCAUUUGCUCACUUUGUAUAUAGACUUAUUUUUCUACUAUAUUAUUGACUGUAUGUUUGUUUUACUCCAUGUUGUUGUAUGUGUCAAACUGCUUGCUUUAUCUUGGUCAGGUCGCAAUUGUAAAUGAGAACUUGUUCUCAACUUUCCUACCUGGUUAAAUAAAAUAAAUAUGAAGAGCAGUGGUUCUCAGUCCUGGGGUCUCAAAAGGGGUGCACAUUUUUGUUUUUGCCUUAGCACUGCACAGCUGAUUCAGUUGAUCAACUCAUCAAGCUUCGAGUGAUACCUUGUAACUGGAGAUUCCUUCAAAACGAUUGCCUACAGUUAACAUAUAGGGCACUGCAAGGUUGGGUGACCAGGGCCAUCUGGGACUGCCUCCUGGGGGAAUUCAGGUGUGUGAAGGCUACCUGUGUGCUGCAUAACUUAAUGAGGAUGGACACGAGGACCAGGAGGGGAUCUGCAGCUUGCCGCCGUGUGCCAGAGUAGAAGUCUGCUGCUCUGCGGGAUGUUAAGGAUUGGGUAGCAAGAGACGCAGCAAGAGAGGCAAUCCAUGUGCGGGAGAUCUUCUACUUCUUCGAAGAGGGUGCUGUUCCCUGGCAACACCAUAGACUACACUAUGCACAACCAAAGGCUCUUUUAAGAGCCAUUCACAUUGCAAUAAGAGUAUUCUUCCAUUUACUUAGCUAUGUCAACUGCAGUUAUUGAAUUCACAGUUUUUCUCCCUUUGAUUUCUACUUCUCAGGUGAGGGUGCUGUUUAGCUAAGGGUGUGAUGUCUGUACAAAAACAAAACAGGCUAUUUUAAAUCACCCAUAUUGAUAUUAUUAUUAUUAUUAUUUUUUGAACAAUUAGACACCCUAUAACCCACACACUCAUUUAUCAAUCUGAUUGAUGGAUGGUGUUGAGCAGGUUCAGGUGUAUAACUGGCUUCUUCCACCUUCAAAGAAUAGGCAAGAGGGCCAACCAUGGAGAAUAGUAAAACACUUCAUUAUUUCUAUAACUACGCUAUAUUGUUUGUCCUCGUGUGUCCGUUCAUGUUUUUCAGCAUAAAGUACUCUGCAGCCACUUAGUGUGGUGUGGACACCAGGUGAGGCCACACCAGGAUUCCUGUUGAAAACAGUCACUUUUGACUACCUUAUUUUCUCAAGUCUCUCCUUCACUUCAUCCCUUUCUCCUCUUCUCCCUAGAUCCUCUAGGUUAUAUCAGCUGUGUCGGUGAACCCCUCCUGCAUCUGAACUGGCUACAUAGAGGGCACAGCAUGAUCAGAGAUAUGUUUUGAUGUGAGAGAGGAUGCCAACCCCCAGUCCUAUCAUCGCCACCUCACCCGCUUUUAAGAUAAGUAUCUCUCGACAGCCCAAAGGUUAUGUAAUUGUGAUGAACUGAGAAUAUUUAGGUAGCACUGUGAUUCAUUAAUCAUAUGCUGCCUUCCCUGCUCCUGUUUUACCUCUUUCCCUUUGUCUUUUACACCUCUCCCGCCACCUCUUUCUUCCUCUGUUUUUAUAAUGCACAACAGAUGUGCAUUGAAGUACAGAUUGAACUUGUAUUUAUAAUAUUACAAUUAUAAUAUUUAGAAUGCAUGUAUUUAUAACACUUGGAUAAUGAGCUUUUCAAUAAACCAUUUUACAUUCUCUACUGGUUGAAAAAUAAGUCUCAUUUGAUGAAAUACUACACCUAUUCUGUGUUUAUCAGAUCAAUGCAGAUGAAGGGCAUUAAAUAUUGAGAUGAACCGGUUUUAGACUAUUUACAUGAUGCAUAGGAAGUGUAGUGUACUGUUUUUCUGUAUAUAUAUAUAUAUAUAUA